CUAGUUGGCGCCUUGAGAACACAAAGAAAUCUGGCAACAGUGCAGCCGCGCCCCUCCCAACCGUCAUCUUGUUAUUGUAGUGACUCACGGCCCACGCUCGUCGCGUAUCACGUAGUCUGUACUCAUCCGCCGACUUGUACACUUAUAGUGUUGUGUUUUCUGUAUUCGUUGCCUCCACUGGUUUGUUUAAUGUUUAGUUUAAUCUGCAGUUCUAAAAAAAUGUCAGUGUGGCUUCGGCAGAAAGGACUUUCUCCACUUUAAGAAGAGUAAAGACUUGGCUGAGAUCAAGAAUGGGAGAAACACGUCUCACGGGCCUUUGCAUGCUUCACGUUCACAGGCAUCUUCAAGUGGACACAGAUAAAAUAAUAGAACGAUUUGCAAAGAAAGGUGCAAGAAGGCUUGAGUUUGUGUUAUAAGUUUUGUAUUUUGAACCAGUAUUUGUUUUAAAAGCCAUCUUGUACACAAUAAACUUGUUUUCAGUAAA
This is a long non-coding RNA of Homalodisca vitripennis (glassy-winged sharpshooter), 484 nucleotides long. RefSeq lists it as uncharacterized. The transcript is spliced from 2 exons. NCBI's taxonomy places the organism in Eukaryota, Metazoa, Arthropoda, Insecta, Hemiptera, Cicadellidae. The record is from RefSeq and is a predicted model, not a curated record.